AUGCUGGAUCUAUAACAAAUGCCUAGACAAAUGAGUGGAAGAACAAUAUGAGGAAAACUUCUGAUAGUAUAUAAGUAGCAAAUUGAUUAAUUAAAAAGCAAUGCUACUUCUAAUGUGGAUAGGAUGAAAGAGAACCAAAUUGCUAGUUUCCAGGAAGAAUGAUAUGCAAGUGUUGGGUAAAUAGGCAAUAUGGAGAGGGUGAGAGGCACAGAGAGAAGAAGAAUAGAAACAGAAUCACAAUGUAACCAUAACAUUAAACAGGACACACAGAUUGGUUUAAGAAACAAUUCUAAAAAUAUUUUAAAAUGCUGAAUGUAUGGACAGAGAGAAAUGCAUAAACAGAUAUCAAAAAUCUUUUCUAACAAUAUUUCUACUCUAUGGACCAAUGGUUCUGUAAUUUACACCUUCAGACAUUACAUAAAUAUUGAAUCCAUAAACAUGCUCCAGGUGAAAGAGCUAACCUGACAAUUACCAUCUCCUUGAA
This 484-nucleotide unclassified non-coding RNA is filed under the name Hevea brasiliensis (rubber tree). The record is from RNAcentral. Lineage: Eukaryota; Viridiplantae; Streptophyta; Magnoliopsida; Malpighiales; Euphorbiaceae.